GCCCUCAUGGCGGAAUGGUAGACGCGCUAGCUUCAGGAGCUAGUAGUCGCAAGGCUGUAGAGGUUCAAAUCCUCUUGAGGGCA
RNAcentral lists this transfer RNA (83 nucleotides) under bacterium. RNAcentral describes it as "tRNA-Leu". It matches the Rfam family "tRNA". From Rfam's summary of the family: Transfer RNA (tRNA) molecules are approximately 80 nucleotides in length. Their secondary structure includes four short double-helical elements and three loops (D, anti-codon, and T loops). The record is from RNAcentral.